AAAAGGUAGCAUAAUAAGUUGGCUUAUAAUUGAAGUCUAGUAUGAAUGGGAAUCCGGGUAUUAACUGUCUUAAACAAUUUUCUUAAAAAUUACUUAGUAAGUGAAAAUACUUACCUAAAGAUGAAAGACGAGAAGACCCUCGAAAUUUUUAUACAAAACUUCCAAGAUCUAUUUUGUUGGGGCGACAAAGGAAUAAAAAAUUGAUCUUCCUUUAAUCACAAGAAACUAAUUUGUUGAAAGAUUAAAUUACUCUAGGGAUAACAGCAUUAUUUAUAUUAAGUUUGUGACCUCGAUGUUGGACUAGGGAAUACCUUACGUAGAAGGUAAGUUAAUUAGCUCUGUUCGAGCAUCUUCCCCUACAU
This 362-nucleotide ribosomal RNA is filed under the name Noricella oreinos. Its description in RNAcentral is "partial 16S ribosomal RNA". The record is from RNAcentral. Lineage: Eukaryota; Metazoa; Mollusca; Gastropoda; Stylommatophora; Hygromiidae.